GAUGAACGCUUGCGGCGUGCCUAAUACAUGCAAGUCGAGCGAACAGACGAGGAGCUUGCUCCUCUGACGUUAGCGGCGGACGGGUGAGUAACACGUGGAUAACCUACCUAUAAGACUGGGAUAACUUCGGGAAACCGGAGCUAAUACCGGAUAACAUGUUGAACUGCAUGGUUCAACAGUGAAAGACGGUUUUGCUGUCACUUAUAGAUGGAUCCGCGUCGCAUUAGCUAGUUGGUAAGGUAACGGCUUACCAAGGCAACGAUGCGUAGCCGACCUGAGAGGGUGAUCGGCCACACUGGAACUAAAACACGGUCCAGACUCCUACGGGAGGCAGCAGUAGGGAAUCUUCCGCAAUGGGCGAAAGCCUGACGGAGCAACGCCGCGUGAGUGAAGAAGGUCUUCGGAUCGUAAAACUCUGUUAUUAGGGAAGAACAAAUGUGUAAGUAACUAUGCACGUCUUGACGGUACCUAAUCAGAAAGCCACGGCUAACUACGUG
RNAcentral lists this ribosomal RNA (497 nucleotides) under uncultured bacterium. RNAcentral describes it as "partial 16S ribosomal RNA". It matches the Rfam family "Bacterial small subunit ribosomal RNA", at positions 28 to 507 of the family's 1533-position model. The record is from RNAcentral.